RNAcentral lists this ribosomal RNA (253 nucleotides) under uncultured bacterium. RNAcentral describes it as "partial 16S ribosomal RNA". It matches the Rfam family "Bacterial small subunit ribosomal RNA", at positions 524 to 776 of the family's 1533-position model. The record is from RNAcentral.
UACGAAGGGGGCUAGCGUUGUUCGGAAUUACUAGGCGUAAAGCGCGCGUAGGCGGAUCGCUAAGUCAGGGGUGAAAUCCCAGGGCUCAACCCUGGAACUGCCUUUGAUACUGACGAUCUGGAGAUCGGGAGAGGUUGGUGGAAUUCCGAGUGUAGAGGUGAAAUUCGUAGAUAUUCGGAGGAACACCAGAAGCGAAGGCGGCCAACUGGCCCGAUACUGACGCUGAGGCGCGAAAGCGUGGGGAGCAAACAGG